This 325-nucleotide ribosomal RNA is filed under the name uncultured eukaryote. RNAcentral's name for it is "partial 18S ribosomal RNA". It matches the Rfam family "Eukaryotic small subunit ribosomal RNA", at positions 1470 to 1796 of the family's 1831-position model. The record is from RNAcentral.
CCCCUAGAUGUUCUGGGCCGCACGCGCGCUACACUGAACAGUUCAACAAGUCUUAACCUUGGCCGAUAGGUCUGGGUAAUCUUUGAACGCUGUUCGUGAUUGGGAUAGACCUUUGCAAUUAUGGGUCUUCAACGAGGAAUUCCUAGUAAACGCAAGUCAUCAGCUUGCAUUGAUUACGUCCCUGCCCUUUGUACACACCGCCCGUCGCACCUACCGAUUGAAUGGUCCGGUGAAAUUCUCGGACGCGGACUUGCGAUGUUAAUUCGGAGCUUGGCUGUGAAAGUUAAUUAAACCUUACCAUUUAGAGGAAGGUGAAGUCGUAACA